Molecule: long non-coding RNA, 921 nt
Filed under: Selaginella moellendorffii
Lineage: Eukaryota; Viridiplantae; Streptophyta; Lycopodiopsida; Selaginellales; Selaginellaceae
Description: long non-coding RNA (SMOE_LNC001179)
Source: RNAcentral
GAGAGAGACGCGAAGCAAACAAACGAAUGGGGAUGGAGGCGAAGCGAAUGAUCCUGUUGGCGAUCGUCUCGUUAUUCAUCCUCCUUCCUUCGGUGAAUGGCCGAGCUAGGCACACUCUCGUGGUAAAAACCAUUUUUGUUUUUUGUUUGAUUGACAAAGAAUUGUGUUUCAGCAUGACGAAGACAAUCAUCCAAGCUUCUUCGCCAGGAUUUCACAUCUCUUGGGCGAUGGCCGAGAGCCCCCGAGCUCCAACCGUUUCUUCAGGCCGAAAUACGGCCCAAAUGUUCCUAUCCGCGGCUCAAACCCGUAAGAAAUUCCCAGCUCUUACAAAUGAAGAAAGACAAUGUCGUCAAUGCUUGUAGUAGAUCUUCCUUCCUAGGCUGCUGGUUUACUAGCACUGUGUUCUUCGUUUUGCUCGCCACCAUUCUUGGCAUCAGCGUCUAGCGAUGGUGCUGUUGCCAAUCCAGCAGGAUAAGAAUCAGGCGGGACGGGAUCGAGCGUCGAGGUCACGAGCAGCAGCUUCUCAAACGCGAGCUCAAACUUGUCGAUGGUCGAGUAGAUCUGGUCGGGCUCCAGCAGCAGCUCGCAGAUUCUCUGGAGCGUGAAGGGCGCCGCGUCCUCGAACGAGGCGAGCUGGGCCGCGAGCUUCUUGAGGACACUGUAGACGGCCUUCUCGCCGUCGGCGCCAUUUGCCUCAUUGCUGGUGGGGGGAGCGCUGCUCGCGGUGUCGAGGUAGAGCCUCUUGACGACUUGGUUCAAUCGAAACUGGAGGAGCUGCCUUAGGUGAUGCCAAUCGUGCCAGUACUUACCGCUCUUGGCGCUCAUCGACACGAUCCGCCGGAGCUCCGGAGUGAAGUCCAUGGAGGAUCCAUCGGCGCCGCUGCACAACGCGGCCAGUGAGGCAUUGUCGUCCUCCCACAU